AGCCCAGCCUCCGGGGAUGGAACUGCCGUACGAACCGGGCCAGGCCGGAAGGAGCAACCCUAACUACGGCGUCCCAUGCUCCGGGGAUACUGGGUGGAG
RNAcentral lists this unclassified non-coding RNA (99 nucleotides) under uncultured archaeon. RNAcentral describes it as "Bacteria_small_SRP". The record is from RNAcentral.